RNAcentral lists this ribosomal RNA (880 nucleotides) under uncultured bacterium. Its description in RNAcentral is "bacterial SSU rRNA". It matches the Rfam family "Bacterial small subunit ribosomal RNA", at positions 62 to 938 of the family's 1533-position model. The record is from RNAcentral.
UCGANGGCAGCACGGAGCUUGCUCUGGUGGCGAGUGGCGAACGGGUGAGUAAUGCGUCGGAACGUAUCCAAUAAUGGGGGAUAACGCAGCGAAAGCUGUGCUAAUACCGCAUACGCCCUCCGGGGGAAAGCAGGGGAUCUUAGGACCUUGCGUUAAUGGAGCGGCCGACGUCUGAUUAGCUAGUUGGUAGGGUAAAGGCCUACCAAGGCGACGAUCAGUAGCUGGUCUGAGAGGAUGAUCAGCCACACUGGGACUGAGACACGGCCCAGACUCCUACGGGAGGCAGCAGUGGGGAAUUUUGGACAAUGGGCGCAAGCCUGAUCCAGCCAUUCCGCGUGAGUGAAGAAGGCCUUCGGGUUGUAAAGCUCUUUCAGGAGGGAAGAAACGAUUGUGGCUAAUACCCAUGAUUAAUGACGGUACCUUCAGCAGAAGCACCGGCUAACUACGUGCCAGCAGCCGCGGUAAUACGUAGGGUGCGAGCGUUAAUCGGAAUUACUGGGCGUAAAGCGUGCGCAGGCGGUUUUUCAAGUCUGAUGUGAAAUCCCCGGGCUUAACCUGGGAACUGCGUUGGAAACUGAAAGACUAGAGUGCGGCAGANGGGGGUAGAAUUCCACGUGUAGCAGUGAAAUGCGUAGAUAUGUGGAGGAAUACCGAUGGCGAAGGCAGCCCCCUGGGUCGACACUGACGCUCAUGCACGAAAGCGUGGGUAGCAAACAGGAUUANAUACCCUGGNAGUCCACGCCCUAAACGAUGUCAACUAGUUGUUGGGGAGGGAGACCUCCUUAGUAACGCAGCUAACGCGUGAAGUUGACCGCCUGGGGAGUACGGUCGCAAGAUUAAAACUCACAGGAAUUGACGGGGGCCCGCACAGCGGUGGAUU